GAUGAACGCUGGCGGCGUGCCUAAUACAUGCAAGUAGAACGCUGAAGGAAGGAGCUUGCUCUUUCCGGAUGAGUUGCGAACGGGUGAGUAGCGCGUAGGUAACCUGCCUGGUAGCGGGGGAUAACUAUUGGAAACGAUAGCUAAUACCGCAUAACAGUAGAUGUUGCAUGAUAUCUACUUAAAAGGUGCAAUUGCACCACUACCAGAUGGACCUGCGUUGUAUUAGCUAGUUGGUGAGGUAACGGCUCACCAAGGCGACGAUACAUAGCCGACCUGAGAGGGUGAUCAGCCACACUGAGACUGAGACACGGCCCAGACUCCUACGGGAGGCAGCAGGAGGGAAACUUCGGCAAGGGGCGGAAGUCUGGCCGAGCAACGCCGCGUGAGUGAAGAAGGUUUUCGGAUCGUAAAGCUCUGUUGUAAGAGAAGAACGAGUGUGAGAGUGGAAAGUUCACACUGUGACGGUAUCUUACCAGAAAGGGACGGCUAACUACGUG
This 497-nucleotide ribosomal RNA is filed under the name uncultured bacterium. RNAcentral describes it as "partial 16S ribosomal RNA". It matches the Rfam family "Bacterial small subunit ribosomal RNA", at positions 28 to 507 of the family's 1533-position model. The record is from RNAcentral.